GUAGGGGUUCUGAGAGGAAGGUCCCCCACAUUGGAACUGAGACACGGUCCAAACUCCUACGGGAGGCAGCAGUGAGGAAUAUUGGUCAAUGGACGAGAGUCUGAACCAGCCAAGUAGCGUGCAGGAAGACGGCCCUAUGGGUUGUAAACUGCUUUUAUAAGGGAAUAAAGUGAGUCUCGUGAGACUUUUUGCAUGUACCUUAUGAAUAAGGACCGGCUAAUUCCGUGCCAGCAGCCGCGGUAAUACGGAAGGUCCGGGCGUUAUCCGGAUUUAUUGGGUUUAAAGGGAGCGUAGGCCGGAGAUUAAGCGUGUUGUGAAAUGUAGAUGCUCAACAUCUGAACUGCAGCGCGAACUGGUUUCCUUGAGUACGCACAAAGUGGGCGGAAUUCGUGGUGUAGCGGUGAAAUGCUUAGAUAUCACGAAGAACUCCGAUUGCGAAGGCAGCUCACUGGAGCGCAACUGACGCUGAAGCUCGAAAGUGCGGGUAUCGAACAGGAUUAGAUACCCUGGUAGUCCGCACGGUAAACGAU
Molecule: ribosomal RNA, 530 nt
Filed under: uncultured bacterium
Lineage: Bacteria
Description: bacterial SSU rRNA
Rfam family: Bacterial small subunit ribosomal RNA
Source: RNAcentral